This is a long non-coding RNA of Pipra filicauda (Wire-tailed manakin), 515 nucleotides long. RefSeq lists it as uncharacterized. The transcript has 3 exons. The record is from RefSeq and is a predicted model, not a curated record. NCBI's taxonomy places the organism in Eukaryota, Metazoa, Chordata, Aves, Passeriformes, Pipridae.
AGACCUGAGGAACAGGAAGGCAGACGUCUCAUUGACCAAAUAUAGCAGAUAUCCUCCUUUUCAUGCAGGGUCCUGGGAUUGUGAACCACAUGAGGGCUGCCCUUGACAACAGCCUGGCCUUGAGCUGUCCCUCCCGGCUCUUACCAACCAGCACAACAUGGGGAAGCAGACCAUGAAGUCUGGCAGAGCCAAAAUUAACCAAACAUCUGGACCAACCAGGGAGGGCAAAAUAGCAUUUUUCAAAGACCACCUUGUUCUCCCUUUGCCUUGCCCUUUGGGAAGAUAGGACUGGCCUUUCGGCAGCUAAAUCUCUCCUUGGAGGAUCUUCUAAAAAGGCUUUGAAAAGUCAGAUUCAGAAAAUUCACCCUAUGCCGCUCCACACACACUGGUGAUACUCAAGGCACAUCUGUAGAGCAGGCUUAUCUGAGGUAGCGAGACAAAGAGCGAAGUUGAUUCAGCCUACCAUGCUGUGCAGGAGUGCAGGACUCGAUGGGAGAGAAAUAUUUUCAACAACU